UAUAAGAUUAAUCCUAUUUUUGUAUUCACGAAAGGGGGUGAGUUAAGUAUAAUCAAGUUAUAGGUGUAUAUUACUACGUUGUAUAGUAGUAUGAUAGUUAUAUUUUGUAGUGAUAGGCCUACCAAGCUUCUUGAUAACUUGUUGUGUAGAAAACAUAUUAAGUAUUUAGUUGGACUAUAAAAGUUAAGCUUUGUAGUUGCUCAUAAAUUAAGAUAAAUAAGGUUUAAUUAUAGCUUAAUCGUUAAGUGGUUUUUUAUAAUAAUAUUAAUCAUUUUAUUGUUGUGUUUAUUAUUGCACUUUGCUGUGUUGUCUUGUGUAUAAAUAAUGUAAAUAUAAGUAAUAAUAAAAAUGCACGGAAGGAACUCGGCAAAUAUACUGUUCAACUGUUUACCAAAAACAUAACUAUAUGAUAUAAUAUAUAGCGGUUCUGCUCCAUGGUAAUCUAAAUAGCCGCAGUACCCUGACUGUGCAAAGGUAGCAUAAUCAGUUGGCUCUUAAUUAGAGUCUGGAAUGAAUGAAAGUAUGGAUGGUAACUGUCUUACUGUGUAUUAAAUUGAAAUUGGUAAGUAAGUGAAAAAACUUGCAAUAAUAAAAAAGACGAGAAGACCCUAGAAACUUGUAUAUAUUUUGUUGGGGCGACAGAAUUACAUGAAACUAAUUUUACAAUACGUGACGUUGAUCAGAUAGAAUAAGUUACUCUAGGGAUAACAGCAUAAUUUACAUAGUUUGUGACCUCGAUGUUGGACUAGGUACAUAGUUUUUUAAAAGGAAAUUUGGCUGCUCUGUUCGAGCAAAAGCACCUACAUGAUCUGAGUU
This 816-nucleotide ribosomal RNA is filed under the name Loxana rerayana. RNAcentral describes it as "partial large subunit ribosomal RNA". The record is from RNAcentral. Lineage: Eukaryota; Metazoa; Mollusca; Gastropoda; Stylommatophora; Helicidae.